UACGGAGGGGGCUAGCGUUGUUCGGAAUUACUGGGCGUAAAGGGCGCGUAGGCGGACCGACAAGUCAGGGGUGAAAGGCCUGGGCUCAACCUGGGAACGGCCCUUGAAACUGACGGUCUUGAGUCCGGGAGAGGAUGGCGGAAUUCCCAGUGUAGAGGUGAAAUUCGUAGAUAUUGGGAGGAACACCAGUGGCGAAGGCGGCCAUCUGGACCGGCACUGACGCUGAGGCGCGAAAGCGUGGGGAGCAAACAGG
RNAcentral lists this unclassified non-coding RNA (253 nucleotides) under uncultured Alphaproteobacteria bacterium. Its description in RNAcentral is "contains 16S-23S intergenic spacer region". It matches the Rfam family "Bacterial small subunit ribosomal RNA", at positions 524 to 776 of the family's 1533-position model. Lineage: Bacteria; Pseudomonadati; Pseudomonadota; Alphaproteobacteria. The record is from RNAcentral.